This 526-nucleotide ribosomal RNA is filed under the name Peniophoraceae sp. ZLY-2010. RNAcentral's name for it is "eukaryotic LSU rRNA". The stretch from base 220 to 373 matches the Rfam family "5.8S ribosomal RNA". The record is from RNAcentral. Lineage: Eukaryota; Fungi; Basidiomycota; Agaricomycetes; Russulales; Peniophoraceae.
GUGCAAUUGAGCUCGGACGUCGCGUUCGGUUACUGAUGCUGCCCGGAAACGGGAUGUGCUCGCAAUCGGACGCGGUGUCCCUUCUCUAUCCACCCCACUGUGAACCAAGCGUGCGAGCCAGUAAAGAGGGGGGAGACCCCUUCCGAAAGCUUGCAUGCAAACCUAUAACAUACCCCAAAGAAGUAUCAGAAUGUAACUUGCGUUAACUCGCACAUAUAUAACUUUCAACAACGGAUCUCUUGGCUCUCGCAUCGAUGAAGAACGCAGCGAAAUGCGAUAAGUAAUGUGAAUUGCAGAAUUCAGUGAAUCAUCGAAUCUUUGAACGCACCUUGCGCCCCUUGGCAUUCCGAGGGGCACGCCUGUUUGAGUGUCGUGAACUCCUCCACUCCCCGCUUUUCUUUACGAAUGGCGGUGCGAGCUGGGAUUUGGGAGCUUGCGGGUCCCUGGCCGAUCCGCUCUCCUUGAAUGCAUUAGCAGAGCCCUCGCGGCCUUGGUGUGAUAGUAAUCUACGCCUCGGCUUAGCGCA